CAAUAGACUACCCGGGUAGUCCACGCCGUAAACGAUGGUGACUAGGUGUGGCUGGCUUAAGGGCUGGUCGUGCCGAAGCUAACGCGAUAAGUCACCCGCCUGGGGAGUACGGCCGCAAGGCUAAAACUCAAAGGAAUUGACGGGGGGCCCGCACAAGCAGCGGAGCGUGUGGUUUAAUUCGAUGCAACGCGAAGAACCUUACCUGGGAUUGACAUGACGGUGGUAGAAGGGUGAAAGCCCGACGACCCGCAAGGGAGCCGCCACAGGUGCUGCAUGGCUGUCGUCAGCUCGUGUCGUGAGAUGUUGGGUUAAGUCCUGCAACGAGCGCAACCCCUGUCGCCAGUUUCAGGUGUCUGGCGAGACUGCCCGUGCAAGCGGGAGGAAGGUGGGGAUGACGUCAAGUCAGCAUGGCCUUUAUAUCCAGGGGCGACACACACGCUACAAUGGCUGGGACAAUAGGACGCAAGACCGAGAGGUGGAGCCAAUCCGUAAACCCAGUCUCAGUUCGGAUUGGGGGCUGCACUCGCCCC
This 530-nucleotide ribosomal RNA is filed under the name uncultured bacterium. Its description in RNAcentral is "bacterial SSU rRNA". It matches the Rfam family "Bacterial small subunit ribosomal RNA", at positions 776 to 1318 of the family's 1533-position model. The record is from RNAcentral.